CAGCAGCCGCGGUAAUACGAGGGGGGCAAGCGUUGUUCGGAAUUAUUGGGCGUAAAGGGUGCGUAGGCGGUCUGAUAAGUCUUAUGUGAAAUCUAUGGGCUCAACCCAUAGUCUGCAUAGGAAACUGUCAGGCUUGAGGAUGGGAGAGGUGAGUGGAAUUUCCGGUGUAGCGGUGAAAUGCGUAGAUAUCGGAAGGAACACCUGUGGCGAAAGCGGCUCACUGGACCAUUACUGACGCUGAUGCACGAAAGCUAGGGGAGCAAACAGGAUUAGAUACCCCCGUAGUCCCUGUCUCUUAUAC
This 301-nucleotide ribosomal RNA is filed under the name uncultured bacterium. RNAcentral's name for it is "partial 16S ribosomal RNA". It matches the Rfam family "Bacterial small subunit ribosomal RNA", at positions 509 to 807 of the family's 1533-position model. The record is from RNAcentral.